AUCUGUCAGUGACGAGACCACAGAACUCGCGCCAGGCGUGGCGCCCGAUAGUAAUGAGGAAAUCUUCCAUGCUGCCUUCCGUCUGAGACGAAG
This 93-nucleotide small nucleolar RNA is filed under the name Kryptolebias marmoratus (mangrove rivulus). RNAcentral's name for it is "Small nucleolar RNA U83B (ENSKMAG00000007379.1)". It matches the Rfam family "Small nucleolar RNA U83B". Rfam says of the family: U83B belongs to the C/D family of snoRNAs. U83B like U83A has no documented RNA target and they share the same host gene with the C/D box snoRNA U43 (RPL3). The record is from Rfam by way of RNAcentral. Lineage: Eukaryota; Metazoa; Chordata; Actinopteri; Cyprinodontiformes; Rivulidae.